CAAUAGCGUAUAUUAAAGUUGUUGCAGUUAAAAAGCUCGUAGUUGGACCUUGGACCUGGACAGGCGGUCCGCCUCACGGCGAGUACUGUCUUGCUGGGUCUUUCCUCUUGGUGAUCUGUUGUUUCGGCAGCAGGGAACCAGGACCUUUACUUUGAAAAAAUUAGAGUGUUCAAAGCAGGCUCGACGCCGGAAUAUAUUAGCAUGGAAUAAUAAAAUAGGACGUGCGGUUCUAUUUUGUUGGCUUUUGGAAUCGCCGUAAUGAUUAAUAGGGACAGUCGGGGGCAUUAGUACUCACAUGCUAGAGGUGAAAUUCUUGGAUUUUGUGAAGACUAACUUCUGCGAAAGCAUUUGACAAGGAUGUUUNCAUUAA
RNAcentral lists this ribosomal RNA (370 nucleotides) under uncultured eukaryote. Its description in RNAcentral is "partial 18S ribosomal RNA". It matches the Rfam family "Eukaryotic small subunit ribosomal RNA", at positions 592 to 976 of the family's 1831-position model. The record is from RNAcentral.